Molecule: non-coding RNA, 252 nt
Filed under: [Clostridium] leptum
Lineage: Bacteria; Bacillati; Bacillota; Clostridia; Eubacteriales; Oscillospiraceae
Description: Clostridium leptum T-box sequence
Rfam family: T-box leader
About the family: Uncharged tRNA acts as the effector for transcription antitermination of genes in the T-box leader family.
Source: RNAcentral
AAGAAACCGUGGAGCAAGAAAAGUAAGUAAAGACGGGUGUAUCAGAGAGCCGCUGGCUGGUGUGAAUGCGGCAGCAUAGAAUUUACUGAAUGGCCUUGCGAGGGCGGCCUGAAACCGAAAGAUUCGGGAGUAGGCGUCGACGGGAGCCCUGUCCGUUAUCAGCGGGGUGCAUAUGAUAGUAUGUAAAUUGAGUGGAUGGUUAUAAUCAUCAAACCGGGUGGUACCGCAGAAGCUAAGGCUUUUGUCCCAGUA